CACCCCAAAGAGUGUCAUUCA
RNAcentral lists this microRNA (21 nucleotides) under Bos taurus (domestic cattle). RNAcentral describes it as "Bta-Mir-506-P2a_5p (mature (guide))". Lineage: Eukaryota; Metazoa; Chordata; Mammalia; Artiodactyla; Bovidae. The record is from RNAcentral.